UGCAAGUCGAGCGGCAGCGCGGGGCAACCUGGCGGCGAGCGGCGAACGGGUGAGUAAUGUAUCGGAACGUACCCAGUCGUGGGGGAUAACUAUCCGAAAGGAUAGCUAAUACCGCAUACGUCCUGAGGGAGAAAGCGGGGGACCGUAAGGCCUCGCGCGAUUGGAGCGGCCGAUAUCGGAUUAGCUAGUUGGUGAGGUAAAGGCUCACCAAGGCGACGAUCCGUAGCUGGUCUGAGAGGACGACCAGCCACACUGGAACUGAGACACGGUCCAGACUCCUACGGGAGGCAGCAGUGGGGAAUUUUGGACAAUGGGGGCAACCCUGAUCCAGCCAUUCCGCGUGAGUGAAGAAGGCCUUCGGGUUGUAAAGCUCUUUCAGCAGGAACGAAACGGUGGUCCCGAAUACGGGCUACUAAUGACGGUACCUGAAGAAGAAGCACCGGCUAACUACGUGCCAGCAGCCGCGGUAAUACGUAGGGUGCGAGCGUUAAUCGGAAUUACUGGGCGUAAAGCGUGCGCAGGCGGUUCUAUAAGACAGAUGUGAAAUCCCCGGGCUUAACCUGGGAACUGCGUUUGUGACUGUGGGACUCGAGUGUGGCAGAGGGGGGUGGAAUUCCACGUGUAGCAGUGAAAUGCGUAGAGAUGUGGAGGAACACCGAUGGCGAAGGCAGCCCCCUGGGUCAACACUGACGCUCAUGCACGAAAGCGCGGGGAGCAAACAGGAUUAGAUA
Molecule: ribosomal RNA, 731 nt
Filed under: uncultured bacterium
Lineage: Bacteria
Description: bacterial SSU rRNA
Rfam family: Bacterial small subunit ribosomal RNA
Source: RNAcentral